CUCGCUGGAUGGCGUUGAGGAGGCGCGCCUGCUCGUCGGCGGAGAGGAAGGCGGCGCAGAGCCACAGCCCCCUGACCCCAGCCACCGCCUCCCACCUCCAGUGCCCGCGGCCUGCUCCGGGGCUGACACCGGCGGGUGUGUCGGAAUCGCUGCUCGACGAGUCACCGAAGGCCUCGCGGAGCGCCUCCCGGUAGUGGGACUCACCGCCGUCGCCGGCGGCGGCCAUGUGGUGUCUCCGUGGAGUCUCUUCCAGUCUCGCAGCACAGAGCGGUACAGCAAGAUUCAUUCAACUCGUUACGCCUUCUGUG
Molecule: unclassified non-coding RNA, 308 nt
Filed under: Zea mays
Lineage: Eukaryota; Viridiplantae; Streptophyta; Magnoliopsida; Poales; Poaceae
Description: misc RNA Zm00001eb115690
Source: RNAcentral